ACACUCUUUGAAAGAAAGUCACUAUGUGCAGUUAUGGCCCAGUUCCUUGAGGUUGGAGUAUCUGAUUUUUCUGCACAGAGCAAGGCAAUUUACUUCUAUAGAAGGGUGCGCCCUCACAGAUGGAGCAAUGUUUAAGAGCAUACAGCAUCAUAUGAAAACAGCUCAGGAGCAUGACAAGCCGGACCCCGCGGUGCUCUAUUACUGUUGUUUCUAUGCAAUGCAAACCAGAAUGAAGACUGAUAGUAAAACUCCUGAGAGUUGUACAUUUUUAUCAAAGCUAAUGGAUCAGUUAGAAAUACUUAUGAAACAGUUGGGUGAUCAUGAAGCUAUUAGGCAAGAAAAUACUUAGUCCUGCCCAUUUGGAGAACUAUGCUUAGAAAAUGUUUUUAUACUCAGACAAUGAUCAUGCUGGGUGAUUUCACAAGAUGAUCAAGCCCUUUUUAUACUCCACAGUUUUAAAUAGAUGCCAUAAUAAUAUUAGGACAACUCACUGAUGAAAAUGUGAAACACAGAAAGUAUGUAAGAUGAAAAGCAAAAUAUAUUCAUAUUUGUUUAAAGAAUGGGGAGCUGCCUCAACUAGUAUCUGCUGGAAUUGAAGAAGAUAACAAUAUAACAAUAUUGCAGAAAAUGAAAAUGCUGAAGCAACCUAUCUGUCCACUGAGCCAUGUCAGCCACCAUCUUCAACUUAUGACCCAAGCCACAUGCCAUAAAGGAGCUAUAAUAGAAUACAGAUUCCUCCCAGUGCACACACUCCAGCUAAUACAUCAGUAGAAGUGCAUCACAAUGCAGAUGUAACAAAUCUAAUCUACUCCAAAGACAAUUCAGCAAUUGAGCCCACAUUUUUAGUAGUUUCUUAAAGUGAUAUCCAUCUAACACUAGAGGACUUUGUUAGUGAUCAGAAAUACAGCAAAUAAUAGGCUGGCAGUGCCUUGUCAUAUGAAGAUGUCAUUUAUCCUGUGAAUUAAAACUUCUGGAGAUAGAUAAUUAAAUGUAAAAAUAGAGAUUUUAAAUAUUGUUUUUAUUUUCUAACAUGCAUUUAAGGUAUAAAAUUUCCUCCAGACAUUAUUUUACCCCAAUCUCACAAGUUUCACGUGGCAUAUUGAAGAUAAUGAAUUAGCUCAGUUUUUAUUGGCUUGAAAGUGUCUUUCUUUAGCUUUUCUUAUGACCAGUAUUUUUUCUGGGUUAUUUUAUUUGUCUUUGCCUCUUUAGAAAUGUCAUUCCAUUUUCUUCUGGCCACGAUCAUUUUUGUUUAAAAGUCAACUGUCAGUGUUGUUUCUCCUUUGAAGGUAAAAUCAUCUUAAUCCAGUCAGAGAUUGAGUUGAUUAAAGACUGUGCUUCAGUUCUGUUGUUGUUUAUUUUUUAAGGCUUCUAUAUUUUUGUUUGUUCUUACUUAUAGAGUGUGGCCCUUUCCUUUCUUAUCUUUAUUUUCUUUCUUCCUUCCAAUUGUUUAUCUUUUAGAAGCUUUUUAUUCUUACCUGUGAUUUUAAUUUUAUUUAUCUUUUUACACAGGACAUAGAGCUUCUUUUAUCUGUGGCUUAAUGUUUUUUAGCUUGGAAAAGUUGUGGUCACUAUAUUUUCAAAUAUUGUUUUCAUUUUUCUGAAUAUGAAUUACACAUAUGUUAAAAAUAAUUAUGUUUUACUUGGUCCUGAUGCACAGUUCUGUAUUUGUACCCUUUUUACUCCCUCUGAGUUAGUUUGGAUUUUUCCAACUGCUCUAUCUAAUUAGAAUGCUGUUAAACAUUUUAUUGAUUUCUUAACUUCAUUUAUGAUGUUUUUCAGUUCUAGUAUUCCUAUUUAAUUCUUCUUUGUGGAUUAUACUUUUCAGGUAUAACUUUCCACCUUGUCUUCUAUUUUUAAAAUACUUGAAUCAUAGCUUUCAUGGUACCUUUAUCAUUUUAGCCAUUAAUGCAUUGAUACCAGAUUUGCACAGUGUCUAAUAUCCUAGUAUCUGAAUAGCCUGUAGAUCAAUUUUAAUUUUAUCGUGUUUUUUUUUAACAUCUUGAUUUUCAGCUAUUUGGUUUUAUCUCUUAGCACAGCUUGUGUGUUUUAAAAUAAAAUUUUGGACAUUUUGCAUAAAGAAAGCAAUUUAGCCUUUGAAUGAUGCCAAUCUUAUUUCGAGGAGAUUUAGGUUUCUUUGGAAAACAGUUACAUUGAUUAAAAAAAUCACCUUAAUUCAGUCAGAGAUUGAGUUGAUUAAAGACUGUGCUUCAGUUUGGUUGUUGUUUAUUUUUUAAGGUUUCUCUAUUUUUGUUUUUUCUUACUUAUAGAGUGUUGUCCUUAGCAUACCAAUCAAUUGAAAGUCUGGGUUUGAUUACCAGUGCCUAUUUUCUUUGAAAAACAAUAAGCUCCAAUUUUGUCUCUUCAUCCAUUUGGGACUACUGAAGUCCCUGAUUUAUUUUUUAGACAUUUACACGUCAAUUUCUGCUUAAGUUCUCAGUAUCUUAUGCACACUUUAGGGAUCAGUAGAAUGCCUUGAGGGAAAACAAAAUGCACAAAAUAUCAGACUUAUACUUCUACACAUUACUUUGUUUUGGAUCUUGACUUUUAAUGUGAUGGCUGCCAUGGUAACCCUAAACUCCAAGUUUUGCCUACUCAGCCUUAUGAGACUGCACAAAUCACUGAGCUGCAGUUUUCUGCUUGGUUGAAAAUGCUUGGAUGGGAAAGUGUCAGAUAAUUUGGGACUUGCCAUGAUGUAUUUCCCUUCUUCCUGGGGUCCUGGCCACUUAAAUAUCAUUGUUUCUUUUCACUGCCUUAAAACAGCUUAUUUAUUGUUUGUUGUUGUUGGUUGUGGUCUUGUGAGUGUUGUAUGCAUGUUUUCUAGCUUUCAAUUUUUUUUCUUGGUGGAAACAUUGACCUAAUAUAAGCUAGUUUUUUUAUAGCUGUACCUACGCAAACAAAAUAGAUAUAAACCCCCAUCCUACCUGUCACAAAAUGUAUUCCUAAUUUUUAGGGCUUCUUUUUUCCAUAAUUUUUGGGGGUCUUAUGGGUUAUCCAAAUCGUCAGUCUUAGUUACUCUCAUUUCAGAUAAAGAAGGAAAUCCUUCAGAGAGCUGUGAAGAUAAUUCUUGUUAUCAUGCUUACAGAAUUGUAUUUGAAGUCCUGAGUUCGAUGCUAUAUGUUCUUUACCAUAUGCCCUACCACCAGUAAUAAACAAAAUAUACUUCAGUUUUUAUUGGCUAAAAUACAAUGUGCAGAAUUAUUCUAUUUCUAGUAUACUAGUUAAAAGAAUGUAACAAAUUCUAAGAAAUAGAAUGUCAAAAAAAAAAAAGAAAGAAUAAGGAUGCCAUAUGUAAGUGUGGCAUACAUGCUUUACUCAGUACUAACAUAGGAGGGAUUGGUCAAGGAAGCUUAGAGGACAUCUGAGGAUUAGCCCUAAGUCUUCUCUGAAAGUGUUUCUGGAAAUAAAUUCUUAGUUUAUGCAGGUACAAUCUUGUGGUGGAUCAUCCACUUCCCCUUGAUGUAGUCUAUUCUACUUCCUGAAAUCUCUAGUUAUUAGAAAAAUAUUGACUUUAAAUUGAAAAAAAAUUUUCUCUUUGGUCUGAGAACUGUCCCUUGAGACUACAUGGAUCAGGUCUAAAUGUUCUUUAUCUGAUAUUCUGUAGAUAUUUUAAGACGGCUAUCACAUUCCCUAUAUGUUUAUCUCCACAAGACACACAGUUCUGAUUUCAGAACUGGCACAGUGUCAGACUUUUCAUCCUCAGGUUUAUUCUCUUCUGGAAAUGUUUCAGCUUAAAUGUGCCCUUCUUGUUACUGUGUCCAGAAUUGUACUUUAUAUUCAGGUAUGGAAGGAACAGCCCAGAGUGCCACACUCCGCACAUUUUUUAAGGAAUAUUCUCUAUAUGAUGCUAUUCAUUCAAAUUAGGUUGUAAUUAGCAUCUGGCUAUUACACUACCACCAAAUCCUCCUAUCAGCUUAAGAAAAUUAAAUAGAUGUUUCCAUUAAAAUACUAUGUCCUUAUACUGUCUCUUCAUAUUUUUAAAAUCACAUUAUCCCUAUUAAAUGUCACCUUCCAAUAAUUAGUUUAUUAUUCCUGUCCACUAAGGUAUUUUCAGGGCUUCAGUUUCUCAUAAGCAUUUUAAAUAGCCAAGAAAUCUCAUUACCUUUUUAAAACUUCCUAAUAAACAUGUUUUUGUCAUUGGUAUUAUUACAAGUUGCUAUGUGAUGUUAAUGCAAAUGAUUCAAAAGUGAUCUUUGCUUUUGCUCUUCCUGUCUCCCUUUAGAACUCAGUUUUUUGUUGUUACUGGAUUUUUUUUUACAAACUUAAUAAAAAUGACUGGUUGUAAUAACUUUAUAUACACAUAGAAUAAACCUACUUUAGAAAUUUGCACUGGUGUUAAAAUGAAAACAAAGUCAUCUUUUAAUAAUAUCCAUAGUUCAUAUGAUUCAUUGAAAUUAUUAGUAUUCGUUUCAACAUCUAUAAUAUAAAAAUGCUAAUCAUUGUAUUAGGACAUUUAUGUGAUAGGAAAAUAAACUUGUUUUAUUUAAAUCAUUAUUAUUUUUAGUCUCUAUUAUUCACAGCUAAACCUAAUCGGUAGGCAGAUAUAGGAGAUGGUAGGCAGAAAUAAUGACCCUCCAAAGGUAUCCACACUCUAAUUCCCAGAACCUGUAAAUUAUGUUACCUUACAUGGCAAAAGAAAAUUAAGACUGCACAUGCAAUAAAUGUUUCUAAUGGGCUAAACUUGAGAUUGGCAGAUUAUGCUGAAUUACCAAGUGGGUCCAAUCUGAUCACGUUAAUUUAAAAGUGGAAAAAGAGGAGGGCAGAAGAGUAGUUCAGAGAGAUAUGACAUAAGGACUUAGUCAAAUGUUCCUGGCUUUGCAGAGGAAGGAAAGGCCAUGAGCCAAGAAAUAAGGGCAGCCUAUAGAAGCUGGAAAAGGCAAGAAAAAAACUCUCCCAUAGAGCCUUCUGAAAGGAACCCUGCCCUGCAAAUAACUUGAUCUUAGCCUGGCAGGAUCUCUGUUGAACUUCUGACCUCCAAUACUGUAAGACAAUAAAUUCAUUUGUGGGUUUUGGGGGAUGGUGAGUUUAAGCCAGUAAAUUUAUGGUACUCUGUAUUGCCAAAUAGGAAAUACAUAUAUAUUCUUAAGCAAAAUAGCACAAAAUCCAAUGUGAGUGUGUGAUGAGAAAUAACUGUAAAAAUGAACCCCAGAUAUGAAGAAGCCAAGUAGGCAUGCAACUUUCUUUGAAUGGCACCUUUACAAAUGUCAACAAAACGUUAAUUAUAUGUAAGACAAAAAUGGGCUUGGCUCUUUCUGAUAGUUCUCUAAGCUGUAUACCAGAAAAUAAGAGCAGAAACUUUAAUUCUGUUAGAAUUCAAUAUGUAUCCUGCACAUGGUUUGACUGUCACUAAUGCCUGACACAUCCAAAUAAAAUAUCAAUUAUAUUACAAAAAUCUUCACCAGGCAUGGUAGAUAAUGCCUGUAAUCACAGCACCUUGGGAGGCUGAGACAGAAGGAUUGCUUGAGUGAGUCCAGGAGUUUGAGACCAGUCUAGGCAACAUAGUGAGACCCUGCCUCAUAAAUUUUUUUUUUAAAAAUUACAAAAAUCUUAAAAAAUUAAUAUAAGCCUUACUGAAGGUUUUUUUUUAAUUUUUACUUAAUUUUUUAAAGGACAGUGAAGUAGAUGCCUAACAAACAUCAUAUGCUACUCUUCAUUCUCCUCCUCCUUCUCUUACCAUGCUGCUCAGGCCCAGGCUACCAAAGGCUAAAUUGAUCCUCUUUUUAUAGUCCCUGAAGAGAAAUCGUGUUGAUUUUCCAUUUUAACUUACUGAUUGUAUUAGUCUGUUCUCAUGCUGCUAAUAAAGAUAUAACUGAGACUGAGUAACAUAUAAAGAAAAGAGGUUUAAUUGACUCAGUUCAGCAUGGGUAGGGAGGCCUCAGGAAGCUUACAAUCAUGGCAGAAAGCAAAGGGGAUGCAAGGCACCUUCUUCACAAGGAGGCAAGAAGGAGAAGUGCUGAGCAAAGGGGGGAAAAGCCCCUUAUAAAACCAUCAGACCUUGUGAGAACUCACUAUCACAAGAACAGCAUGAGGAUAACUGCACCAUGAUUCAAUUACCUCUCACCACCCCAAGGAUUAUGUGAACUACAAUUCAACAUGAGAUUUGGGUGGGGACACAGGCAAACCAUAUCAUUCUUCCCUUAGCCCCUCCCAGAUCUCAUGUCCUCACAUUUCAAAACAAAAUCAUGCCCUUCUAACAGUCCCCCAAAGCCUUAACUCAUUCCAGCAUUAACCCAAAAGUCCAAGUCCAAAGAUACAUCUGAGACAAGGCAACUUCCUCCCACCUAUGAGCCUGUAAAAUCAAAAGCAAGUUAGUUACUUCCUACAUACAAUGGGGGUACAGGCAUUGGGCAAAGAUACCCAUUCCAAAUGGGAGUAAUUGCCCAAAACAAAGUGGCUACAGGCCCCAUGCAAGUCUAAAAUCCAAUAGCGUAGUCAUUAAACCUUAAAGUUCCAGAAUGAUCCCCUUUGACUCCGUGUCUCACAUCUAGGUGAGGCUGAUGCAAGAGGUAGGUUCCUAUGGAUUUGGGUAGCUCCACCCCUGUGCUUUUACAGGGUACACACCCUCUCCUGGCUGGUGUCACAGGCUGGCAUUGAGUCUGUGGCUUUUACAGGUGCACAGUGCAAACUGUUGGUGGAUCUACCAUUCUGAGGCCUGGAGCAUGGUGGCCCUCUUCUCAUGGCUUCAUUACACAGUGCCUCAGUGGGGACCCAGUGUGGGGCCUCUGACCCCACUUUUCCUAUCUGUAUUGAUCUAGCAGAGAUGCUCCAUGAGGGCUCCACCUCAGCACAUACUUCUACCUGGACAUCCAGGCAUUUCCAUACAUCCUCUGAAAUCUAGGCAGAGGUUCCCAAAUCUCAGUUCUUGACCUCUGUGCCCCCUCGGGCCCAACACCACAUGUAAGCCACCAAGGUUAGGGACUUGCAUCCUCUGAAGCAACAGCCUGAGCUGUAUGUUGGCCUCUUUUAGCCACAGCUGAGAUGCAGGGCACAAAACAGCAAGGCCUUGUGCUUGGCUCACAAAACAAUUUUUUCCUCCUAGUUCUCUAGGCCUAUAAGGGGAGGGGCUUCCGCGAAGGUCUCAGACAUGUCCAGAGACAUUUUCUCCAUUGUCUUGGUGAUUAACAUUUGGCUGCUCAUUACUUAUGCAAGUUUCUGCAGUGGGCUUGAAUUUCUCCCUAAAAACUGGGCUUUUCUUUUCUAUUGCCUCAUCAGGUUGCAAGUUUUCCAAACUUUUAUGUUCUGCUUCCUCUUGAAUGAUUUCCCACUUAGAAAUUUCUUCUGCCAGAUACCCUAAAUUAUCUCUCUCAAGUUCAAAAUUCCACAGAUCUCUAGGGCAGGGCAAAAUUCCACCAGUCUCUUUGCUAAAGCAUAACAAAAGUCAUCUUUGCUCCAGUUUCCAAGAAGUUCCUCAUGUCCAUCUUAGACCACCUCAGCCUGGACUUCAUUGUCCACAUCGCUAUCAGCAUUUUGGUCAAAGCCAUUCAACAAGUCUAGGAAGUUCCAAAUGUCCCCACAUUUUCCUGUCUUCCUCUAAGCCCUCCAAACUUUUCCAAUGUCUCUCCCUGUUACCCAGUUCUAAAGUUGCUUCCAUAUUUUUGUGUAUCUUUAAAGCAGCACUGUACUACCCAGUGUCAAUCUACUGUAUUAGUCUGUUCUCACCCUCCGAAUAAAGACAUACCUGAGAAUGAGUAUAUUAUAAAGGAAAGAGAUUUAAUUGACUCACAGUUCCCUAGGCCUGGGGAGGCCUCAGGAAACUUACAAUCAUGGCAGAAGGCAAAGGGGAAGCAAGGCACCUUCUUCACAUGUGACAAGAAGGAGAAGUGCUGAGCAAAGUGGCAAAAACCCCUUAUAAAGCCAUCAGAUGUUGUGAGAACUCACUAACUAUCAUGACAACAUCAUGGGGGUAACUAACUGCCCCCAUGAUUCAAUUACCUCUCACUGGGUCCCUCCCACAGCAUGUGGGGAUUAUGGGAACUACAAUUCAAGAUGAAAUUUGGAUGGGUACGCAGCCAAACCAUACCACUGAUUUUUCAUUUUCUCUUCUUGCUCAUUAUGUAUUGGCCUGAGAAUGCUAGAACACCUUAAAUGUGAGACAAUAAUGAUGUAAGCUGCUUCACUUAUUUUUGUAAGGAUUUUGCUAGAAACAAAAUAAUGUUGCUGAUAUCAUGCAAAGUUGAUAAUGUAGUUAAGAGCAAUCAGAAGUGUUUGUGCUACCCAGAUGGUCAGGUAAGUUCUAACUGCAGAUCCUUACUGCUGAUGAUAGAAGUGAGAAAGAACACAGUGUGACUCUUAGAAUUCAGGUUCAGUAUACCACCUGAGUUUGAGAAAAGGCAACUUUCUAUUUGUAAACACAGAAAAGCCAUUGACAGAGAA
RNAcentral lists this long non-coding RNA (8370 nucleotides) under Homo sapiens (human). RNAcentral's name for it is "HSALNT0348198". The record is from RNAcentral. Lineage: Eukaryota; Metazoa; Chordata; Mammalia; Primates; Hominidae.